UACCGCUUGUCCCUUUCAGGGUCGCGGGGGGUGCUGGAGCUUAUCUCAGCUGCAUUCGGGCGGAAGACGGGGUACAACCUGGACAAGUCACCACCUCAUCGCAGGGCCAACACAGAUAGACAGACAACAUUAGACCUCACAUUCACACACUAAGGCCAAUUUAGUAUUGCCAAUCAAUCUAUCUCUAGGUGCAUGUCUUUGGAGGUGGGAGGAAGCCGCAGUACCCGAAGGGAACCCACGCAGUCACGGGGAGAACAUGCAAACUCCACACAGAAAGAUCCCCAACCCAGGAUCGAACCCAGUAUAAUUAACAUAAAUGUGGGAGGAAGCCAGAGUACCCGGAGAAAACCGAACGCAGUCAAGGAGAGAACAUGCAAACUCCACACAGAAAGAAGCCUAGCCCGGGAAUCGGACCCAGGACUUCUCACUAGACGUGUGAGCGGUACAUGAGGAUUUUAACUUGAAUGUAUUUGUACAACCUUUCACUGGACAACUCACAACAUAGCCUUCCACAACAUGUUCCUUCAGCAGUCCUCCAAACACCACGAGUCCAACUCAUGAAGUCAUGAUGACAUCGUUAUUGGCAGGCAAUGUGUGACAAACAUCUGUAAAUAAUGUAUGACUCUGUCAACACACUGUAGUGCCAUAUCACAAUGAAUUAAAGGCACACCCACAAUCAAAUGGUCAAUCCCUUACUGUGGAUCGGCAUUCACUCUUUUCAAUUGAAACUGAAAUAUUUCAUGCACUAAUUCUGAUUUUUGUUUUCUCAGUGUUUUUCUAACUCUCCAUAAAUGAAUAAAGACAUUUCUACUUUUUAAAAAAAAUUUUUUACAUUAUACAAGAUACAUUUUAUAAGGGGGUGAGUGAGAUGUCCACUAGGAUGGACAACAUGUGUUAAAAGUAGAGAUGUCCGAUAUUAUCGGCCGAUAAAUGCUUUAAAUUGUAAUAUCGGAAAAUAUCGGUAUCGUUUUUUAAAUUAUCGGUAUUGUUGUUUUUUUUAAUCAAC
Long non-coding RNA from Entelurus aequoreus (snake pipefish), 1006 nucleotides. RefSeq lists it as uncharacterized. The record is from RefSeq and is a predicted model, not a curated record. The transcript is spliced from 4 exons. Lineage: Eukaryota; Metazoa; Chordata; Actinopteri; Syngnathiformes; Syngnathidae.